UAUUAAGCCGUUUACACUGUUCUACUUCAUCAUCACAAUACUGUUGCUACGGCUGUGGCCGUCUUCAAAAUAGGUGGCAGAUUUGUUAUUCCUUCACCUCACUCCUGGGUUCAUUACGGCUACGACGAAAGAGAACGCGUGAGAAAAGGGGCUUCAACACAUAUUUUAUCUAACGUUGCAAUCUGGCAUUGCUGCUUUAUGCUCUUGGUUCCUUUAACGGAUUGACAGUGGGUGACUUGGUGCAAUUCUGAUCUGCUCUAGCAGUUCAGAUACUACUAUCAAGCAUUUGGAAGCUACGGUAGUAACUAAUAGGUUGGAUAUGGAGAGCUUGAACUCGAAGUUGGAAGAGUUGCAUUGUGUGUCUUCAUCUUUAAUGAAGCUGGACGUGAAUGCACAUCAACACAUAUAAUUGGUACUAAAGACUGCAGGUCUCUUUUAGCUGCACUACAUAUUGGCCUUUCUCAUGCCUUUUUGAAAAGUUAACUGAAAUAUGUUCACACUUUUGUCGUGCUACUUUUUUAGGAUUACCCAAUAUCAGUUAAACUUCUUCCAUCCCUUCAAUGGCUUUUGGUAUCUAUUAUCUAGAUGUAUUUCAACUUGGAUGUUGCAGAUACAUACAUACUAUCUUUUGUUA
Rhododendron vialii is the source of this 634-nucleotide long non-coding RNA. RefSeq lists it as uncharacterized. The record is from RefSeq and is a predicted model, not a curated record. Lineage: Eukaryota; Viridiplantae; Streptophyta; Magnoliopsida; Ericales; Ericaceae. The transcript has 3 exons.